AGGGCACCACCAGGAGUGGAGCCUGCGGCUUAAUUUGACUCAACACGGGAAAACUCACCCGGCCCGGACACCGUAAGGAUUGACAGACUGAGAGCUCUUUCUUAAUUCGGUGGGUGGUGGUGCAUGGCCGUUCUUAGUUGGUGGAGCGAUUUGUCUGGUUAAUUCCGAUAACGAACGAGACCCUGGCCUAUUAAAUAGACGGGAUAUAUGAUUCAAAGUAUUCCGCGCUUCUUAGAGGGACAAGCGGCGUCUAGCCGCAUGAAAUAGAGCAAUAACAGGUCUGUGAUGCCCUUAGAUGUCCGGGGCUGCACGCGCGCUACACUGAAAGAAUCAGUGUGCUAUUCGCCUAGUUCGGAAGAACCGGGUAACCCAAGUAAAUUCUUUCGUGCUUGGGAUAGGGAAUUGCAAUUAUUUCCCUUAAACGAGGAAUUCCCAGUAAGUGCGGGUCAUAAGCUCGCGUUGAUUACGUCCCUGCCCUUUGUACACACCGCCCGUCGCUACUACCGAUUGGAUGACUUA
This 519-nucleotide ribosomal RNA is filed under the name uncultured eukaryote. RNAcentral's name for it is "SSU rRNA". It matches the Rfam family "Eukaryotic small subunit ribosomal RNA", at positions 1161 to 1700 of the family's 1831-position model. The record is from RNAcentral.